GACGAACGCUGGCGGCGUGCUUAACACAUGCAAGUCGAACGGUGAGCCCCUGCUUUCGUCUGUUGUUCGUGUCGCACGCGUGUGUGUCACACGAGUAUACCCUCCCCUACACUUUGGUAUACCUUCAGGACACUGUGGCUAAUACCGUAUAGUAGCUCCUGCCGCAUGCUGGUGGUUGGAAAGUUUCGGCGGUUGGGGAUGGACUCGCGGCUUAUCAGCUUGUUGGUGGGGUAGUGGCUUACCAAGGCGUUGACGGGUAGCCGGCCUGAGAGGGUGACCGGCCACACUGGGACUGAGAUACGGCCCAGACUCCUACGGGAGGCAGCAGUGGGGAAUAUUGCACAAUGGGCGGAAGCCUGAUGCAGCAACGCCGCGUGAGGGAUGACGGCCUUCGGGUUGUAAACCGCUUUCAGUAGGGAAGAAGCGAGAGUGACGGUAACGGGUGAAGAAGCACCGGCUAACUACGUG
This 468-nucleotide ribosomal RNA is filed under the name uncultured bacterium. RNAcentral describes it as "partial 16S ribosomal RNA". It matches the Rfam family "Bacterial small subunit ribosomal RNA", at positions 28 to 507 of the family's 1533-position model. The record is from RNAcentral.